GCAAGUCGAGCGAAGCACUUUGCUUAGAUUCUUCGGAUGAAGAGGAUUGUGACUGAGCGGCGGACGGGUGAGUAACGCGUGGGUAACCUGCCUCAUACAGGGGGAUAACAGUUAGAAAUGACUGCUAAUACCGCAUAAGACCACAGCACCGCAUGGUGCGGGGGUAAAAACUCCGGUGGUAUGAGAUGGACCCGCGUCUGAUUAGCUGGUUGGUAAGGUAACGGCUUACCAAGGCGACGAUCAGUAGCCGACCUGAGAGGGUGACCGGCCACAUUGGGACUGAGACACGGCCCAAACUCCUACGGGAGGCAGCAGUGGGGAAUAUUGCACAAUGGGGGAAACCCUGAUGCAGCGACGCCGCGUGAGCGAAGAAGUAUUUCGGUAUGUAAAGCUCUAUCGGCAGGGAAGAAAAUGACGGUACCUGACUAAGAAGCGCCGGCUAAAUACGUGCCAGCAGCCGCGGUAAUACGUAUGGUGCAAGCGUUAUCCGGAUUUACUGGGUGUAAAGGGAGCGUAGACGGAUGGGCAAGUCUGAUGUGAAAACCCGGGGCUCAACCCCGGGACUGCAUUGGAAACUGUUCAUCUAGAGUGCUGGAGAGGUAAGUGGAAUUCCUAGUGUAGCGGUGAAAUGCGUAGAUAUUAGGAGGAACACCAGUGGCGAAGGCGGCUUACUGGACAGUAACUGACGUUGAGGCUCGAAAGCGUGGGGAGCAAACAGGAUUAGAUACCCUGGUAGUCCACGCCGUAAACGAUGACUACUAGGUGUCGGGUGGCAAAGCCAUUCGGU
Molecule: ribosomal RNA, 787 nt
Filed under: uncultured bacterium
Lineage: Bacteria
Description: bacterial SSU rRNA
Rfam family: Bacterial small subunit ribosomal RNA
Source: RNAcentral